Molecule: ribosomal RNA, 478 nt
Filed under: uncultured bacterium
Lineage: Bacteria
Description: bacterial SSU rRNA
Rfam family: Bacterial small subunit ribosomal RNA
Source: RNAcentral
CUACAGGCUUAACACAUGCAAGUCGAGGGGCAGCAUGGUCUUAGCUUGCUAAGGCCGAUGGCGACCGGCGCACGGGUGAGUAACACGUAUCCAACCUGCCGUCUACUCUUGGACAGCCUUCUGAAAGGAAGAUUAAUACAAGAUGGCAUCAUGAGUCCGCAUGUUCACAUGAUUAAAGGUAUUCCGGUAGACGAUGGGGAUGCGUUCCAUUAGAUAGUAGGCGGGGUAACGGCCCACCUAGUCUUCGAUGGAUAGGGGUUCUGAGAGGAAGGUCCCCCACAUUGGAACUGAGACACGGUCCAAACUCCUACGGGAGGCAGCAGUGAGGAAUAUUGGUCAAUGGGCGAGAGCCUGAACCAGCCAAGUAGCGUGAAGGAUGACUGCCCUAUGGGUUGUAAACUUCUUUUAUAAAGGAAUAAAGUCGGGUAUGGAUACCCGUUUGCAUGUACUUUAUGAAUAAGGAUCGGCUAACUCCGUG